UGCUCGGUGGAGAUUCUUAACAGCUAUGGUACCCUGACCAUACGAAGGUAGCAUAAUCAAUUGCCCCCUAAUUAGGGGCUGGAAUGAACGGUUCGACGAAAUUGUAACUGUCUCUUUUUAUUUCUAUCGAAUUUGUCUUUAGGGUGAAAAGACCCUAAUUUUAUUAUAAGACAAGAAGACCCUAAAAGCUUAGCUGAAUUUGUGGGUAUACCGGAAUAAGAUUUAGUUGGGGCAACUCUAGAAUAUUAAUCUUCUAGUAGAAUAUAAAUUAUUCAUAUUUGUGACCGUGAUAAAUUUAUCACAUCAAAGGUGAAGUUACUUUAGGGAUAACAGGGCACUUUCUUUUUUGAGUACAUAUCUAAUAAGAAGUUUGCUACCUCGAUGUUGGAUUAAGAUUUCCUAAGGGUGCAUCCGCUCUCAAGGUUGGCUUGUU
This 433-nucleotide ribosomal RNA is filed under the name Eoacmaea pustulata. Its description in RNAcentral is "partial 16S ribosomal RNA". It matches the Rfam family "Archaeal large subunit ribosomal RNA", at positions 1952 to 2650 of the family's 2987-position model. The record is from RNAcentral. Lineage: Eukaryota; Metazoa; Mollusca; Gastropoda; Eoacmaeidae.